UACGGGGGGGGCAAGCGUUGUUCGGAAUUACUGGGCGUAAAGGGCGCGUAGGCGGCUCGCUAAGUUGGAUGUGAAAACUCUGGGCUUAACCCAGAGCCUGCAUCCAAAACUGGCAAGCUUGAGUACUGGAGGGGAAAGCGGAAUUCCUGGUGUAGCGGUGAAAUGCGUAGAUAUCAGGAGGAACACCGGUGGCGAAGGCGGCGACCUGGGUUGACAUUGACGCUGAGGCGCGAAAGCGUGGGGAGCAAACAGG
This 253-nucleotide ribosomal RNA is filed under the name uncultured bacterium. RNAcentral's name for it is "partial 16S ribosomal RNA". It matches the Rfam family "Bacterial small subunit ribosomal RNA", at positions 524 to 776 of the family's 1533-position model. The record is from RNAcentral.